This 316-nucleotide ribosomal RNA is filed under the name Houstonia acerosa. RNAcentral's name for it is "eukaryotic LSU rRNA". The stretch from base 1 to 87 matches the Rfam family "5.8S ribosomal RNA", at positions 70 to 154 of the family's 154-position model. Lineage: Eukaryota; Viridiplantae; Streptophyta; Magnoliopsida; Gentianales; Rubiaceae. The record is from RNAcentral.
AAUUGCAGAAUCCCGUGAACCAUCGAGUUUUUGAACGCAAGUUGCGCCCGAAGCCAUUAGGCCGAGGGCACAUCUGCCUGGGCGUCACGCAUCGUCGCCACCCCCAUCGCACGCACGCGUGCCUUGAGCGGGUGACGGAAAUUGGCCUCCCGUGCCCUGCGCGGUUGGCCUAAAACCAAAUCCUCUGCUCGGGAGAGUCACGACAAGUGGUGGUUGAAACCCUCAACUCGAUCGAAGUCGCGGUCNGGAACGAGCAAGGGAGACCNAAAGACCCCGGAGCCUACGGGCCCCUCGACCAUGACCCCAGGUCAGGUGG